This 626-nucleotide ribosomal RNA is filed under the name Neofusicoccum eucalyptorum. Its description in RNAcentral is "eukaryotic LSU rRNA". The stretch from base 208 to 361 matches the Rfam family "5.8S ribosomal RNA". Lineage: Eukaryota; Fungi; Ascomycota; Dothideomycetes; Botryosphaeriales; Botryosphaeriaceae. The record is from RNAcentral.
UCCGUAGGUGAACCUGCGGAAGGAUCAUUACCGAGUUGACUCGAGCUCCGGCUCGACUCUCCCACCCUAUGUGUACCUACCUCUGUUGCUUUGGCGGGCCGCGGUCCUCCGCACCGGCUCCCUUUGGGGGCUGGCCAGCGUCCGCCAGAGGACCACAAAACUCCAGUCAGUAAACGUUGCAGUCUGAAAAACAAGUUAAUAAACUAAAACUUUCAACAACGGAUCUCUUGGUUCUGGCAUCGAUGAAGAACGCAGCGAAAUGCGAUAAGUAAUGUGAAUUGCAGAAUUCAGUGAAUCAUCGAAUCUUUGAACGCACAUUGCGCCCCUUGGUAUUCCGAGGGGCAUGCCUGUUCGAGCGUCAUUUCAACCCUCAAGCUUUGCUUGGUAUUGGGCCCCGUCCUCUGUGGACGCGCCUCAAAGACCUCGGCGGUGGCGUCUUGCCUCAAGCGUAGUAGAAAUCACCUCGCUUUGGAGCGCAUGGCGUCGCCCGCCGGACGAACCUUUGAAUUUUUCUCAAGGUUGACCUCGGAUCAGGUAGGGAUACCCGCUGAACUUAAGCAUAUCAAUAAGCGGAGGAAGGAUCAUUACCGAGUUGACUCGAGCUCCGGCUCGACUCUCCCACCCUA